AGAGUUUGAUCCUGGCUCAGAGCGAACGCUGGCGGCAGGCUUAACACAUGCAAGUCGAGCGGGCGUAGCAAUACGUCAGCGGCAGACGGGUGAGUAACGCGUGGGAACAUACCUUUUGGUUCGGAACAACACAGGGAAACUUGUGCUAAUACCGGAUAAGCCCUUACGGGGAAAGAUUUAUCGCCGAAAGAUUGGCCCGCGUCUGAUUAGCUAGUUGGUGAGGUAACGGCUCACCAAGGCGACGAUCAGUAGCUGGUCUGAGAGGAUGAUCAGCCACAUUGGGACUGAGACACGGCCCAAACUCCUACGGGAGGCAGCAGUGGGGAAUAUUGGACAAUGGGCGCAAGCCUGAUCCAGCCAUGCCGCGUGAGUGAUGAAGGCCCUAGGGUUGUAAAGCUCUUUUGUGCGGGAAGAUAAUGACGGUACCGCAAGAAUAAGCCCCGGCUAACUUCGUGCCAGCAGCCGCGGUAAUACGAAGGGGGCUAGCGUUGCUCGGAAUCACUGGGCGUAAAGGGUGCGUAGGCGGGUCUUUAAGUCAGGGGUGAAAUCCUGGAGCUCAACUCCAGAACUGCCUUUGAUACUGAGGAUCUUGAGUUCGGGAGAGGUGAGUGGAACUGCGAGUGUAGAGGUGAAAUUCGUAGAUAUUCGCAAGAACACCAGUGGCGAAGGCGGCUCACUGGCCCGAUACUGACGCUGAGGCACGAAAGCGUGGGGAGCAAACAGGAUUAGAUACCCUGGUAGUCCACGCCGUAAACGGUGAAUGCCAGCCGUUAGUGGGUUUACUCACUAGUGGCGCAGCUAACGCUUUAAGCAUUCCGCCUGGGGAGUACGGUCGCAAGAUUAAAACUCAAAGGAAUUGACGG
Molecule: ribosomal RNA, 863 nt
Filed under: uncultured Bradyrhizobiaceae bacterium
Lineage: Bacteria; Pseudomonadati; Pseudomonadota; Alphaproteobacteria; Hyphomicrobiales; Nitrobacteraceae
Description: bacterial SSU rRNA
Rfam family: Bacterial small subunit ribosomal RNA
Source: RNAcentral